CGGAGGAGUUGAAGUUCGCCUUGGAGGAUCUUCCAGCAAGCUGGUUCUCGAGGUCAGCGAGUGUUAUGAGAUGUUGUUGCGGAAGAGCAGGAUGAAGGAGGCGUGCUUGGAGGCGAGGAGGUUGAGGUAGAAGGUCUUGAGGAGUGUGUGGCAGGGGUCGGUGGUGCCCUGGAAGACGCAGACGUGGUAGCCGCUGGCGAAGGAGGUGGAAGGCAUGAAACAACAAUGUUACGCGGGUCGGGCAUUGCAGCAAACACAACCCAACCACAGGAACGAAUUGUCUCCCCUCUCAAGAGUAACGAAGCUCAUCUCUAAUCUCUCUUCCCACCGCCGCAAGCUCAUAUGAUCUCCUCUGUCGAGUUCACGACGGCGAGGAAAAGGCAAGGCGUCUCACGCUGACGACGUUGACAAUCCUAUCCUUCCCCUUUGUUAGGUUUUCAGGUUUUCUUCCUUUAAGAUUCUGGAAAAGUUUUUGGAGAUGGAAGGUUUUCAUGCCUAGACAGUAGACAAUGAAGGAUACCAUUCCAGAAAUAAUUUGGUUACCGGAGAAGAUGAAGGAUACUAUUUCAGGAAUAAUGUUUGGUGUUGACAGUGUUUUUUUACCUUUCCAUGUAUUCUAUGAAAUAAGAUGACCAUUUU
This is a long non-coding RNA of Vigna angularis (adzuki bean), 639 nucleotides long. RefSeq lists it as uncharacterized. NCBI's taxonomy places the organism in Eukaryota, Viridiplantae, Streptophyta, Magnoliopsida, Fabales, Fabaceae. The transcript is spliced from 3 exons. The record is from RefSeq and is a predicted model, not a curated record.